RNAcentral lists this ribosomal RNA (1018 nucleotides) under Listeria monocytogenes. Its description in RNAcentral is "partial 23S ribosomal RNA". It matches the Rfam family "Bacterial large subunit ribosomal RNA", at positions 1239 to 2254 of the family's 2925-position model. Lineage: Bacteria; Bacillati; Bacillota; Bacilli; Caryophanales; Listeriaceae. The record is from RNAcentral.
UUCUAAGGGCGGUGAAGUCAGACCGGAAGGACUGGUGGAGCGCUUAGAAGUGAGAAUGCCGGUAUGAGUAGCGAAAGAAGGGUGAGAAUCCCUUCCACCGAAUAUCUAAGGUUUCCUGAGGAAGGCUCGUCCGCUCAGGGUUAGUCGGGACCUAAGCCGAGGCCGAUAGGCGUAGGCGAUGGACAACAGGUAGAGAUUCCUGUACCAGUGCUAAUUGUUUAACCGAUGGGGUGACACAGAAGGAUAGGGAAUCGCACGAAUGGAAAUGUGCGUCCAAGCAGUGAGUGUGAGAAGUAGGCAAAUCCGCUUCUCGCGAAGCAUGAGCUGUGAUGGGGAAGGAAAUUAAGUACGGAAGUUCCUGAUUUCACGCUGUCAAGAAAAGCCUCUAGGAAGAGUAGUACUGCCCGUACCGCAAACCGACACAGGUAGAUGAGGAGAGAAUCCUAAGGUGAGCGAGAGAACUCUCGUUAAGGAACUCGGCAAAAUGACCCCGUAACUUCGGGAGAAGGGGUGCUCUAUUAGGGUGCAAGCCCGAGAGAGCCGCAGUGAAUAGGCCCAGGCGACUGUUUAGCAAAAACACAGGUCUCUGCAAAACCGUAAGGUGACGUAUAGGGGCUGACGCCUGCCCGGUGCUGGAAGGUUAAGAGGAGUGCUUAGCUUCGGCGAAGGUACGAAUUGAAGCCCCAGUAAACGGCGGCCGUAACUAUAACGGUCCUAAGGUAGCGAAAUUCCUUGUCGGGUAAGUUCCGACCCGCACGAAAGGCGCAACGAUCUGGGCACUGUCUCAACGAGAGACUCGGUGAAAUUAUAGUACCUGUGAAGAUGCAGGUUACCCGCGACAGGACGGAAAGACCCCGUGGAGCUUUACUGCAACCUGAUAUGGAAUGUUUGUACCGCUUGUACAGGAUAGGUAGGAGCCGAAGAGACGUGUGCGCUAGCAUACGAGGAGGCAAUGGUGGGAUACUACCCUGGCUGUAUGACCAUUCUAACCCGCCACGCUUAGCGCGUGGGGAGACAG